GAUGAAGAACGUAGCGAAAUGCGAUACUUGGUGUGAAUUGCAGAAUCCCGUGAACCAUCGAGUCUUUGAACGCAAGUUGCGCCUCAAGCCAUUAGGUUGAGGGCACGUCUGCCUGGGCGUCACAUAUCGUUGCCUGAUGCCAGUUUCCUCGUGAUGGGUGACUGUGCAGGGCGAAUGAUGGCUUCCCGUGAGCAUUGUUGCCUCAUGGUUGGUUGAAAAUUGAGUCCUUGGUAGGGAGCGCCGUGAUAGAUGGUGGUUGAGUGACGAACGAGACCCAAUCAUGAGAGACCCCUACCGAAUUUGGCCUUCAUGACCCACAUGCGUCUUUGGAACGCUCAUGACGAGACCUCAGGUCAGGCGGGGCUACCCGCUGAGUUUAAGCAUAUCAAUAAGCGGAGGA
This 400-nucleotide unclassified non-coding RNA is filed under the name soil metagenome. RNAcentral's name for it is "partial contains 5.8S ribosomal RNA, internal transcribed spacer 2, and large subunit ribosomal RNA". The stretch from base 1 to 122 matches the Rfam family "5.8S ribosomal RNA", at positions 35 to 154 of the family's 154-position model. The record is from RNAcentral.